CUGAUAUAGCCCUGAGAUGUGUCUUUGGCCACGUUUUCAGCCUGGCCAUGUAUCUGACCACAUGGUCUUAGACUGGUCAGAGAAACCUGCCAGCAGGUUUCAAAGGAAGAAAAUACAUUUCUUUUCUGUCUUGAGGCAUGAACAGGGAGCUCCUGAGAGAGACCUGUGGAGCCAGACUGUAGUAGCCAUAAGACCAAGUAACACAAGUGCUGAGGAAGGUGAAAGAGCAAUACAGAAGAGAGGAGACAUGCUAAUACACCUAAAAGAUGUCAUCUUUCCUAAAAUGCAUGUUUUGCUGGAAUGUGAUUUUAAAAGAGUGAUACAUCUUAGUACAUACUUUACAUUUUUUUUUCUUGACUUUUUUUUUCCCUCU
This 373-nucleotide long non-coding RNA is filed under the name Anser brachyrhynchus (Pink-footed goose). Its description in RNAcentral is "lncRNA (ENSABRG00000006564.1)". The record is from RNAcentral. Lineage: Eukaryota; Metazoa; Chordata; Aves; Anseriformes; Anatidae.